GUGAGGAAUAUUGGUCAAUGGGCGGGAGCCUGAACCAGCCAAGUCGCGUGAAGGAAGAAGGAUCUAUGGUUCGUAAACUUCUUUUGCAGGGGAAUAAAGUGCAGGACGUGUCCUGUUUUGUAUGUACCCUGAGAAUAAGGAUCGGCUAACUCCGUGCCAGCAGCCGCGGUAAUACGGAGGAUCCGAGCGUUAUCCGGAUUUAUUGGGUUUAAAGGGUGCGUAGGUGGUUUGAUAAGUCAGCGGUGAAAGUUUGCAGCUUAACUGUAAAAAUGCCGUUGAAACUGUCGGACUUGAAUGUAAAUGAGGUAGGCGGAAUGCGUGGUGUAUCGGUGAAAUGCAUAGAUAUCACGCAGAACUCCGAUUGCGAAGGCAGCUUACUAAGCUACAACUGACACUGAAGCACGAAAGCGUGGGGAUCAAACAGGAUUAGAUACCCGGGUAGUCC
This 445-nucleotide ribosomal RNA is filed under the name uncultured bacterium. RNAcentral's name for it is "partial 16S ribosomal RNA". It matches the Rfam family "Bacterial small subunit ribosomal RNA", at positions 354 to 796 of the family's 1533-position model. The record is from RNAcentral.